Molecule: non-coding RNA, 146 nt
Filed under: Bacillus sp. (in: firmicutes)
Lineage: Bacteria; Bacillati; Bacillota; Bacilli; Caryophanales; Bacillaceae
Description: Bacillus sp. FMN sequence
Rfam family: FMN riboswitch aptamer (RFN element)
About the family: The RFN element is a highly conserved domain that is found frequently in the 5'-untranslated regions of prokaryotic mRNAs that encode for flavin mononucleotide (FMN) biosynthesis and transport proteins. This element is a metabolite-dependent riboswitch that directly binds FMN in the absence of proteins. In Bacillus subtilis, the riboswitch most likely controls gene expression by causing premature transcription termination within the 5' untranslated region of the ribDEAHT operon and precluding access to the ribosome-binding site of ypaA mRNA.
Source: RNAcentral
GAAUUCCUUCGGGGCAGGGUGAAAUUCCCAACCGGCGGUGAUAAAGCAAAAGCUUUUAAGUCCGUGACCCGGCUGCAUUUAUUGCGGGCGGUGGAUCUAGUGAAAAUCUGGAGCCGACAGUAUAGUCUGGAUGGGAGAAGGAACAC